GGCAAUAAUGAGGCGGGCGCGUACUACGCAUGGAACCGUGGGGCUUCCGCCCCCCGUUGCACUUUGAAUGCCAUGAUGGCGAGACCCGGGGCGCGACGCGAUCAACCGACCGACCGGCCGGCCGCUCGUGUGUGACCACACCCCGACCCCGGGCGGGACUCGAGUUGGGGUUUGGAUUGGAUUGGUUGGAUGGAUGUGCCCUCCCUGCGGCACCACCUGCCUGCCC
RNAcentral lists this long non-coding RNA (226 nucleotides) under Setaria italica (foxtail millet). RNAcentral's name for it is "long non-coding RNA (SITA_LNC003956)". The record is from RNAcentral. Lineage: Eukaryota; Viridiplantae; Streptophyta; Magnoliopsida; Poales; Poaceae.